RNAcentral lists this transfer RNA (72 nucleotides) under Bos taurus (domestic cattle). It matches the Rfam family "tRNA". Rfam says of the family: Transfer RNA (tRNA) molecules are approximately 80 nucleotides in length. Their secondary structure includes four short double-helical elements and three loops (D, anti-codon, and T loops). RNAcentral also lists the same sequence under 3 other names. Lineage: Eukaryota; Metazoa; Chordata; Mammalia; Artiodactyla; Bovidae. The record is from Rfam by way of RNAcentral.
UCCCUGACGGCCUAGUGGUUAGGAUUCGGCACUUUCACUCCCGUGGACCGGGGUCAAUUCCUGGUCAGGGAA